Gastrolobium bilobum is the source of this 76-nucleotide small nucleolar RNA. RefSeq annotates it as small nucleolar RNA U31b. The transcript has a single exon. Lineage: Eukaryota; Viridiplantae; Streptophyta; Magnoliopsida; Fabales; Fabaceae. The record is from RefSeq and is a predicted model, not a curated record.
AGAUAUGAGGAUAAGUUGUUGACACCCAGUCUUACUAUCUAUAUUUAUAUGUGGUGAAAGAUCGACUAUCUGAUCU